This 327-nucleotide ribosomal RNA is filed under the name uncultured eukaryote. Its description in RNAcentral is "partial 18S ribosomal RNA". It matches the Rfam family "Eukaryotic small subunit ribosomal RNA", at positions 1470 to 1796 of the family's 1831-position model. The record is from RNAcentral.
CCCUUAGAUGUUCUGGGCCCCACGCGCGUUACACUGAUGAAGCCAGCGAGUAUAUCGCCUUCACCGGAAGGUGCGGGUAAUCUUGUGAAACUUCAUCGUGCUGGGGAUAGACCAUUGCAAUUAUUGGUCUUGAACGAGGAAUUCCUAGUAAGCAUGAGUCAUCAACUCGUGCUGAUUACGUCCCUGCCCUUUGUACACACCGCCCGUCGCUACUACCGAUUGAAUGGUUUAGUGAGAUCUCGGGAUUGGAGACGUUGCGCCGCAAGGCACAUCGUCCUCGAGAACUUGAUCAAACUUGAUCAUUUAGAGGAAGUAAAAGUCGUAACA